AUUGAAGCUGGAUGAAGGGUCAAACAAGAGAGAUCUUUAUGGUGUAUUAUAUAAAUAAUUUAAGUUAAGAGUAAGAACGCUCUUUUAAUUUAAAAAGACGAUAAGACCCCGGAAGCUUUAGUUAGUUUGUGUGUCUAUAUGAAGAAUAUUUAAGGCGGGUUUAUUAAUGUUAGCUGGGGUAGUUUAUUUUUAUUGAAUUAAGUUUAGGGUUAAUUCUUCAGGGAGAUGAUAGAUCCUUUAGAUAAGGAUAAAUAGGAUUAGUUACUCCGGGGAUAACAGCGCUAUAAUUUUGGAGAGAUCUUAUCUAUAAAAUUGAUUGCGACCUCGAUGUUGAAUUAAAAUAUCUUUAUGGGGUAGAGAACAUGAGAGAGGGUUUGUUCAACCUUUAAAUUUUUACGUGAUUU
RNAcentral lists this ribosomal RNA (404 nucleotides) under Bathyceradocus sp. BOLD:ADF8204. RNAcentral describes it as "partial 16S ribosomal RNA". The stretch from base 272 to 404 matches the Rfam family "Bacterial large subunit ribosomal RNA", at positions 2473 to 2606 of the family's 2925-position model. The record is from RNAcentral. Lineage: Eukaryota; Metazoa; Arthropoda; Malacostraca; Amphipoda; Maeridae.